Molecule: ribosomal RNA, 373 nt
Filed under: uncultured bacterium
Lineage: Bacteria
Description: bacterial SSU rRNA
Rfam family: Bacterial small subunit ribosomal RNA
Source: RNAcentral
ACGUAGGUGGCAAGCGUUGUCCGGAUUUAUUGGGCGUAAAGCGAGCGCAGGCGGUCUUUUAAGUCUGAUGUGAAAGCCCUCGGCUUAACCGAGGAGGGUCAUUGGAAACUGGGAGACUUGAGUGCAGAAGAGGAAAGUGGAACUCCAUGUGUAGCGGUGGAAUGCGUAGAUAUAUGGAAGAACACCAGUGGCGAAGGCGGCUUUCUGGUCUGUAACUGACGCUGAGGCUCGAAAGCGUGGGGAGCAAACAGGAUUAGAUACCCUGGUAGUCCACGCCGUAAACGAUGAGUGCUAAGUGUUGGAGGGUUUCCGCCCUUCAGUGCUGCAGCUAACGCAUUAAGCACUCCGCCUGGGGAGUACGACCGCAAGGUUG